AUUGAACGCUGGCGGCAUGCUUUACACAUGCAAGUCGAACGGCAGCGCGGGCUUCGGCCUGGCGGCGCGUGGCGAACGGGUGAGUAAUGCAUCGGAACGUGCCCAGUCGUUGAGGAUAGCCCGGCGAAAGCCGGCUUAAUACCGCAUACGACCUGAGGGUGAAAGCGGGGGACCGAAAGGCCUCGCGCUAUUGGCGCGGCCGAUGUCGGAUUAGCUAGUUGGUGUGGUAAAGGCUUACCAAGGCGACGAUCCGUAGCUGGUCUGAGAGGACGACCAGCCACACUGGGACUGAGACACGGCCCAGACUCCUACGGGAGGCAGCAGUGGGGAAUUUUGGGCAAUGGGGGCAACCCUGAUCCAGCCAUGCCGCGUGCGGGAAGAAGGCCUUCGGGUUGUAAACCGCUUUUGUUCGGGAAGAAAUCCUCUGGGCUAAUACCCCGGGGGGAUGACGGUACCGGAAGAAUAAGCACCGGCUAACUACGUG
Molecule: ribosomal RNA, 484 nt
Filed under: uncultured bacterium
Lineage: Bacteria
Description: partial 16S ribosomal RNA
Rfam family: Bacterial small subunit ribosomal RNA
Source: RNAcentral